RNAcentral lists this ribosomal RNA (274 nucleotides) under uncultured bacterium. RNAcentral's name for it is "partial 16S ribosomal RNA". It matches the Rfam family "Bacterial small subunit ribosomal RNA", at positions 523 to 796 of the family's 1533-position model. The record is from RNAcentral.
AUACGGAGGGUGCAAGCGUUAUUCGGAAUCACUGGGCGUAAAGGACGCGUAGGCGGGUUGGCAAGUCAGAUGUGAAAUCCUACAGCUUAACUGUAGGACUGCAUUUGAAACUGCUAACCUAGAGUAUGAGAGGGGGAGAUGGAAUUGGUGGUGUAGGGGUAAAAUCCGUAGAUAUCACUAGGAAUACCGAAAGCGAAGGCGAUCUCCUGGAACAUAACUGACGCUAAGGCGUGAAAGCGUGGGGAGCAAACAGUAUUAGAUACCCUAGUAGUCC